Molecule: long non-coding RNA, 158 nt
Organism: Hippocampus zosterae (dwarf seahorse)
Lineage: Eukaryota; Metazoa; Chordata; Actinopteri; Syngnathiformes; Syngnathidae
Exons: 2
Source: RefSeq, a predicted model, not a curated record
GUGGUGGACCCCAACAGGCAGGCAGGAGCGGGGUGUAUUUGAAGAAUUGCAUUUAAAACAACGAAAACUAAAUCCAAAACACUGUCACUCCAAAGUAGCAAACAAAAAUCAUGAGUGAAGAUAAAACAUAACAGCAACCAAAACAUGACUGAAACAAA